RNAcentral lists this transfer RNA (96 nucleotides) under Ampelomyces quisqualis. It matches the Rfam family "tRNA". From Rfam's summary of the family: Transfer RNA (tRNA) molecules are approximately 80 nucleotides in length. Lineage: Eukaryota; Fungi; Ascomycota; Dothideomycetes; Pleosporales; Phaeosphaeriaceae. The record is from Rfam by way of RNAcentral.
GACAACGUGCCAGAGUGGUUAAUGGGUUAGACUUGAAUUCUUGUGUUCAGUCAUCUAAUGACUUCGGUCGCACAGGUUCGAUCCCUGUCGUUGUCG